Molecule: ribosomal RNA, 765 nt
Filed under: uncultured Streptococcus sp.
Lineage: Bacteria; Bacillati; Bacillota; Bacilli; Lactobacillales; Streptococcaceae
Description: bacterial SSU rRNA
Rfam family: Bacterial small subunit ribosomal RNA
Source: RNAcentral
GACGAACGCUGGCGGCGUGCCUAAUACAUGCAAGUAGAACGCUGAAGCCUGGUGCUUGCACCGAGCGGAUGAGUUGCGAACGGGUGAGUAACGCGUAGGUAACCUGCCUGGUAGCGGGGGAUAACUAUUGGAAACGAUAGCUAAUACCGCAUAAGAGUAGAUAUUGCAUGACAUUUGCUUAAAAGGUGCAAUUGCAUCACUACCAGAUGGACCUGCGUUGUAUUAGCUAGUUGGUGAGGUAACGGCUCACCAAGGCAACGAUACAUAGCCGACCUGAGAGGGUGAUCGGCCACACUGGGACUGAGACACGGCCCAGACUCCUACGGGAGGCAGCAGUAGGGAAUCUUCGGCAAUGGACGGAAGUCUGACCGAGCAACGCCGCGUGAGUGAAGAAGGUUUUCGGAUCGUAAAGCUCUGUUGUAAGAGAAGAACGAGUGUGAGAGUGGAAAGUUCACACUGUGACGGUAUCUUACCAGAAAGGGACGGCUAACUACGUGCCAGCAGCCGCGGUAAUACGUAGGUCCCGAGCGUUGUCCGGAUUUAUUGGGCGUAAAGCGAGCGCAGGCGGUCAGAUAAGUCUGAAGUUAAAGGCUGUGGCUUAACCAUAGUACGCUUUGGAAACUGUUUAACUUGAGUGCAAGAGGGGAGAGUGGAAUUCCAUGUGUAGCGGUGAAAUGCGUAGAUAUAUGGAGGAACACCGGUGGCGAAAGCGGCUCUCUGGCUUGUAACUGACGCUGAGGCUCGAAAGCGUGGGGAGCAAACAGG